Molecule: ribosomal RNA, 409 nt
Filed under: uncultured bacterium
Lineage: Bacteria
Description: bacterial SSU rRNA
Rfam family: Bacterial small subunit ribosomal RNA
Source: RNAcentral
AGUGAACGCUGGCGGCAGGCCUAAUACAUGCAAGUCGAACGGCAGCACAGCAGAGCUUGCUCUGUGGGUGGCGAGUGGCGGACGGGUGAGGAAUACGUGGGAAUCUGCCCAGUCGUGGGGGAUAACGUAGGGAAACUUACGCUAAUACCGCAUGCGCCCUUCGGGGAAAGCCGGGGACCUUCGGGCCUGGCGCGAUUGGAUGAGCCCACGUCGGAUUAGCUAGUUGGCGGGGUAAAGGCCCACCAAGGCGACGAUCCGUAGCUGGUCUGAGAGGAUGAUCAGCCACACUGGAACUGAGACACGGUCCAGACUCCUACGGGAGGCAGCAGUAGGGAAUAUUGGACAAUGGGCGCAAGCCUGAUCCAGCCAUGCCGCGUGAGUGAAGAAGGCCCUCGGGUUGUAAAGGCUC